CUACGGGACGCUCCAGUUAGGAAUCUUCUACAAUGCGCGCAAGCGUGAUAGAGUGAGCCAGAGUGUUUUCCAAUUUGGAAGACUUUUAUGGAAUGUAAAAAGUUCCACGAAUAAGGACUGGGUAAGACUAGUGCCAGCCGCCGCGGUAAUACUAGCGGUCCAAGUCGCAGCCAUUUUUAUUGGGUCUAAAACAUCCGUAGCUUGUUUAAUAAGUUCUCUGUGAAAUCCUACAUCUUAAGUGUGGGGCGUGCAGAAAAUACUGUUAAGCUAGAGACUGGAAGACGUAAGAAGUAUGAUCAAAGUAGUGGUAAAAUACUUUAAUCUUGGUCAGACCCACAAUAGCGAAGGCAUCUUACGAGGACAGUUCUGACAGUAAAGGAUGAAGGCUAGGGGCGCAAAACGGAUUAGAUACCCGGGUAGUC
Molecule: ribosomal RNA, 422 nt
Filed under: uncultured archaeon
Lineage: Archaea
Description: partial 16S ribosomal RNA
Rfam family: Archaeal small subunit ribosomal RNA
Source: RNAcentral